GAGCGCGAAUCGCAGCCGGCGUCCACCGUGUUUUCCAAAGCACGGGGGGAAAAAGCCAAGAAAAAAAAUAAUAAAAACUUUUGACCCAAGACUUAAUGCCUGAAAUAGCAGCAAUCACCAUGUGAUCCAGAGGCUGACGUAGGGCCGGUGUAACCUGAUCCAGUUCUUAUAGGCGGUAUGGGCCGGUGCCUUCAUUGGGGUCGCGGUCCUGUUUGUUUGCAGGCUCCGCAUUUAUACCGGCCUUCACACCGAUCGUGACACAUGUGGUUUUCGGGAACGUCACCUUUUUCAGUUAGAUGUGCACGACAUGCCUAUUCAUUAAUUUUCUACACCCCCUUGUCCUACACAGGGUCGCAUGUCACGUGAACUAGAUUAUGUAUUAUGCUUGCUGAUUUUAUGGAGCACUGUGCUAUCCCACGGACAGUACAUAUUCACUACCCAUAAUAUAACGGCAUGUCUAUUUAGUUUUUUUUUUUACCAUUCUUAUUUAAAUCAUAACACGAAUGAGAGGAUGCAAAAUCUUUCGUUUAACUUUGUAGUUUUGGUUUCUCAUACAUAUACGGUGUACAGGCUUUUUUUGUUACCACGUUGCUUAAUUUCAGUAACACGAUUUAUUAAAAGAGUUGCUUGGUGUCCAGAAAGAUUAACUGAAAUAGAAACAAAAAAAAAACAUCUUGGUAGAAAGCCUGAAUGUCCAGAGUGGCCUUGUUAAUCAAUGCCCUACCCUCAGGGAAACAGCAGUUUGCCAAACAGCUGGAUGUGUGCGAUGUGCCAUCCAUUCUGGAGCAGAAGAAGAAAAUGCAUGGGCAUUUUUGCAGAAGUGAAACUGGUCAGAGGAUCUGCAUUCUGGUUUCAGCACAGAGUAAUGUGAUUGGACCUGACAGUGCUUAGUGUGAUUCUUGUGGUCAUGAAGUCCAGUGACCAGUGCUGUUUAACUCAGGACAUGAAUGGGACGUCAUCUGCAAAAUCCAGCCUGAUUGCGCAACACAGUCUGUGGUCACGCUGUGUUGAGAGUAGCGCUUGUAACCUCAAAAGAAGCUCAGU
Paramormyrops kingsleyae is the source of this 1044-nucleotide long non-coding RNA. RefSeq lists it as uncharacterized. The record is from RefSeq and is a predicted model, not a curated record. NCBI's taxonomy places the organism in Eukaryota, Metazoa, Chordata, Actinopteri, Osteoglossiformes, Mormyridae.